AUUGAACGCUGGCGGCAGGCCUAACACAUGCAAGUCGAACGGUAACAGGAAGCAGCUUGCUGCUUUGCUGACGAGUGGCGGACGGGUGAGUAAUGUCUGGGAAACUGCCCGAUGGAGGGGGAUAACUACUGGAAACGGUAGCUAAUACCGCAUAACGUCGCAAGACCAAAGAGGGGGACCUUAGGGCCUCUUGCCAUCGGAUGUGCCCAGAUGGGAUUAGCUAGUAGGUGGGGUAACGGCUCACCUAGGCGACGAUCCCUAGCUGGUCUGAGAGGAUGACCAGCAAGACUGGAAGUGAGACACGGUCCAGACUCCUGCGGGAGGCAGCAGUGGGGAAUAUUGCGCAAUGGGCGCAAGCCGGAUGCAGCCAUGCCGCGUGUAUGAAGAAGGCCUUCGGGUUGUAAAGUACUUUCAGCGGGGAGGAAGGGAGUAAAGUUAAUACCUUUGCUCAUUGACGUUACCCGCAGAAGAAGCACCGGCUAACUUCGUG
This 490-nucleotide ribosomal RNA is filed under the name uncultured bacterium. Its description in RNAcentral is "partial 16S ribosomal RNA". It matches the Rfam family "Bacterial small subunit ribosomal RNA", at positions 30 to 507 of the family's 1533-position model. The record is from RNAcentral.